AAACCUCUCAAUGAAUUUAUUUUUAUUGGUCAUGGGCCGUGGAGGAAAAUGGCUUUAACUAGCCGCUCCCGCCUUAAACUUGCUGCACGACCUCAAGCAAAUGCUAGGUUAAUGGAGUGGUGUUUACAUUGUAUUCCAGCAAUCCAAACAUGGCUUGGUAGGCGUUAAACCCGUUUGCUUAACCGCAACUGAA
Molecule: unclassified non-coding RNA, 193 nt
Filed under: uncultured Orbiliales
Lineage: Eukaryota; Fungi; Ascomycota; Orbiliomycetes; Orbiliales
Description: sequence contains ITS2
Source: RNAcentral